RNAcentral lists this ribosomal RNA (253 nucleotides) under uncultured bacterium. Its description in RNAcentral is "partial 16S ribosomal RNA". It matches the Rfam family "Bacterial small subunit ribosomal RNA", at positions 524 to 776 of the family's 1533-position model. The record is from RNAcentral.
UACGGAAGGGGCAAGCGUUGUUCGGAAUCAUUGGGCGUAAAGGGCGCGUAGGUGGUUCUGUAUGUCUACCGUGAAAGCGUACGGCUCAACCGUAUUUUGUCGGUGGAAACUGCAGGACUUGAGGCUGGGAUGGGCUGGUGGAAUUCCCUGUGUAGCGGUGAAAUGCGUAGAGAUGGGGGAGAACACUCGUGGCGAAGGCGGCCAGCUAGACCAGUUCUGACACUGAGGCGCGACAGCGUGGGGAGCAAACAGG